UUUUUGCACCAGGGAUAAAAGUGGAAAUCCUCUCUGGUCUCGUUUUCAGAACGAGACCAGAGAGAUUGAAACGGAUAGCCCGGUCUCGC
Molecule: small RNA, 89 nt
Filed under: Flavobacterium frigoris
Lineage: Bacteria; Pseudomonadati; Bacteroidota; Flavobacteriia; Flavobacteriales; Flavobacteriaceae
Description: Flavo-1 RNA
Rfam family: Flavo-1 RNA
Source: RNAcentral